Molecule: long non-coding RNA, 1313 nt
Filed under: Bemisia tabaci
Lineage: Eukaryota; Metazoa; Arthropoda; Insecta; Hemiptera; Aleyrodidae
Description: lncRNA ENSSSA1UGG000854
Source: RNAcentral
UUUAUUUCCGCUAAGUCGAGUGUUUUAAAAAAAGUCGAAUUAAGCGUGUCAAAAUGAUUUUUACAAACGGGCUGAUUUUUGCGUGGGCGUUACCCACAGCUCUGAUGGAGAGUACAUUGACUCGUGGGACCACUUGGUGGGGAGUAUUAAGCCGUCAAUGUCGCAAAAUUCCAGCCAAUCUGAUUUCAGCUCGCCAGUUUCAUUUCAUUCUUCGGCCGAUGACUGCGUCACAGAAUCCAGAGGACGAGUUUCUUGAGGUCGCCGCUGCCAAAUUUUGCGAUACGCACAAUAAAACAUGCAAAAUAUACAUCAUAUAUGCUAGGAUAACGGCGGCUGUGAAUACGGGUGGAGGAGGUGUCUUGAUUUGCGCGGAAUUCUAUUUUAGAUCCUGAAUGAUCUUUAACAUGGGCGCCGAAUCGGAAGACGUGUGCAUAUUCAAUCUAAUGCCUACGAUAUUUCCUACCGAAUAAUGUGUCUAGGUUUUCUUUUUUGUUCGUAAAAUAUACAUAUUUCAGUGGGUGCUACUUGAGGUUUAUUUUUCAAUCUGUUUCACCUCUUAUAGUCUCUUAGUUUUGAACUCCAAUAUUAUAGAAUAAGCUUCCAUUUCUGAAUGGGAACCAGAAUUCUGCCUUGCUAAGGGAGAACGCCGUAUCAACAUUCGAGAGUUGCCAAAUUUCUCUCGAUAAAAUGUUUAUUUUUAGGAGAGUUAUGAAUAUUUUUCCUUUAAAUUUUCAGAAUCUUUAUGUAAAAUUGAGAACUGAAUUAUCUAAAAAAUGGAGAGGAAAAUAUUCAUAAAUUUACCGGGAAAUUUGCGUUCCAUCAAAGGAAAUUUGGCAACGCCUGAAGAUUCAUACGGCGUUUCUCCUUAGCACGGCAGAAUUGUCUGCUGACAGAAUUUUUAGUUCACGAGACAAAGUUCUUUCCAUUAGUUGCAUGUUUCGCGGUAAAUCGAAUGAUCUGCCAUUUAAACCUAUAGAAAACUAUCGAUGAGCAGGGUGUUCGCAAUGAACAGCUUAAAAAUCGAUUCAUUACCAUAGCUUCCAAUGGAGAAAUAUCGAUAAUUGAUCCUUCACGCUUCGCCUUUGCUUUGCGAUAUAUGGAUAGAUCCGCCAUUUGAACCUACGGAGAAGGAUCGAUUAACAGAGUGUUCGCAACAAGCGCCGAAAUAAUCGAUUCUUUACCACAGCUUCAAAUGGGGAGAUAUCGAUUAUCGAUCAUUCACGUCUCCGUACUGGUGUUCACGUUUCUUAGAAAAUCAAGGAUAUUUGUAUAAGUUUCUGUAGCCACUGUGAAAAUGAUGAUUUUGAGUUAGA